RNAcentral lists this ribosomal RNA (393 nucleotides) under uncultured bacterium. Its description in RNAcentral is "partial 16S ribosomal RNA". It matches the Rfam family "Bacterial small subunit ribosomal RNA", at positions 523 to 918 of the family's 1533-position model. The record is from RNAcentral.
AUACGGAGGAUCCGAGCGUUAUCCGGAUUUAUUGGGUUUAAAGGGUGCGCAGGCGGGAGAUUAAGUCGGCGGUGAAAUUUUGCAGCUCAACUGUAAAAGUGCCUUCGAAACUGGUUUCCUUGAGUGUAGAUGAAGUAGGCGGAAUUUGGGGUGUAGCGGUGAAAUGCAUAGAUAUCACGAGGAACCCCGAUUGCGCAGGCAGCUUACUAAACUACUACUGACGCUCAGGCACGAAGGCGUGGGGAUCAAACAGGAUUAGAUACCCUGGUAGUCCACGCAGUAAACGAUGAUUACUAGCUGUUUGCGAUACAAUGUAAGCGGCUGAGCGAAAGCGUUAAGUAAUCCACCUGGGGAGUACGUUCGCAAGAAUGAAACUCAAAGGAAUUGACGGGG